CUAGAGGUUGUCUUCACAACCACCACCAGUACAGAUUUGAUAUUUU
Non-coding RNA from Glarea lozoyensis ATCC 20868, 46 nucleotides. NCBI's taxonomy places the organism in Eukaryota, Fungi, Ascomycota, Leotiomycetes, Helotiales, Helotiaceae. The record is from Rfam.